GCGCGGGUGGUGGAAUGGCAGACACGUUAGCAUGAGGGGCUAAUGCCGUAAGGUGUGGGGGUUCAACUCCCCCCUCGCGCACCA
Molecule: transfer RNA, 84 nt
Filed under: Omnitrophica WOR_2 bacterium GWA2_44_7
Lineage: Bacteria; Pseudomonadati; Candidatus Omnitrophota
Also listed under: 3 other names
Description: tRNA-Leu
Rfam family: tRNA
About the family: Transfer RNA (tRNA) molecules are approximately 80 nucleotides in length. Their secondary structure includes four short double-helical elements and three loops (D, anti-codon, and T loops). Further hydrogen bonds mediate the characteristic L-shaped molecular structure. tRNAs have two regions of fundamental functional importance: the anti-codon, which is responsible for specific mRNA codon recognition, and the 3' end, to which the tRNAs corresponding amino acid is attached (by aminoacyl-tRNA synthetases). tRNAs cope with the degeneracy of the genetic code in two manners: having more than one tRNA (with a specific anti-codon) for a particular amino acid; and 'wobble' base-pairing, i.e. permitting non-standard base-pairing at the 3rd anti-codon position.
Source: RNAcentral